GUGCCAGCCGCCGCGGUAAUACGUAGGGUGCAAGCGUUAAUCGGGAUUACUGGGCGUAAAGCGUGCGCAGGCGGUUAUGUAAGACAGAGGUGAAAUCCCCGGGCUCAACCUGGGAACUGCCUUUGUGACUGCAUAGCUAGAGUACGGUAGAGGGGGAUGGAAUUCCGCGUGUAGCAGUGAAAUGCGUAGAUAUGCGGAGGAACACCGAUGGCGAAGGCAAUCCCCUGGACCUGUACUGACGCUCAUGCACGAAAGCGUGGGGAGCAAACAGGAUUAGAAACCCGUGUAGUCC
Molecule: ribosomal RNA, 292 nt
Filed under: uncultured bacterium
Lineage: Bacteria
Description: partial 16S ribosomal RNA
Rfam family: Bacterial small subunit ribosomal RNA
Source: RNAcentral